AUCGGUUUAUACUGGUUAUAAUUUUACAUUAUAUAUAAGUUGAGGCUUUGGAUUUCAUUAGCAAAACCUCUAAAGUUUGAUGAAUAUAUUCGAACCUGUUUCUUUAGGUUCUGGAACUAGGAGAAUGUUUCCUAUUUUGAGAAAAAUGAUUUUGAUCGCAUGUUUACUUGUCGCUGUUGUACAUGUGAACGGCGAAGAAAGAGAAGGCCCUUGUUACAAGUGUACAGAAAUAUUCAGGGGUUGCCAAGCUUACUACAAAUGCGAAGGACAUCCCUUUGAGAAAAGAUGCCGGGAGUUUUGUAAUGACCAGUUUACCAGAUGCAUGGACUCCUGCAAGGCCAACCUUACAAUGUUGAAAUAACAAUUCUAAUUAUUAUUAUUUUUUGUAUUUAAAGAAAGACACAGAAAUUUGUACUAAAUACAGUGGUAUUCCUUGUCUAAAAGGAAUUUUUGCCUGUUAAUAAAUAAUAUUUAUGAA
Long non-coding RNA from Saccostrea echinata, 478 nucleotides. RefSeq lists it as uncharacterized. The transcript is spliced from 2 exons. The record is from RefSeq and is a predicted model, not a curated record. Lineage: Eukaryota; Metazoa; Mollusca; Bivalvia; Ostreida; Ostreidae.